This 2932-nucleotide ribosomal RNA is filed under the name Enterobacter hormaechei. Its description in RNAcentral is "23S ribosomal RNA". It matches the Rfam family "Bacterial large subunit ribosomal RNA". Lineage: Bacteria; Pseudomonadati; Pseudomonadota; Gammaproteobacteria; Enterobacterales; Enterobacteriaceae. The record is from RNAcentral.
GGGUUGUGAGGUUAAGCGACUAAGCGUACACGGUGGAUGCCCUGGCAGUCAGAGGCGAUGAAGGACGUGCUAAUCUGCGAAAAGCGCCGGCGAGGUGAUAUGAACCCUUGACCCGGCGAUGUCCGAAUGGGGAAACCCAGUGCAAUCCGUUGCACUAUCGUUAACUGAAUACAUAGGUUAACGAGGCGAACCGGGGGAACUGAAACAUCUAAGUACCCCGAGGAAAAGAAAUCAACCGAGAUUCCCCCAGUAGCGGCGAGCGAACGGGGAGCAGCCCGGAGUCUGAAUCAGCUUGUGUGUUAGUGGAACGGUCUGGAAAGUCCGACGGUACAGGGUGAUAGUCCCGUACACGAAAGCACACAUGCUGUGAACUCGAAGAGUAGGGCGGGACACGUGGUAUCCUGUCUGAAUAUGGGGGGACCAUCCUCCAAGGCUAAAUACUCCUGACUGACCGAUAGUGAACCAGUACCGUGAGGGAAAGGCGAAAAGAACCCCGGCGAGGGGAGUGAAAAAGAACCUGAAACCGUGUACGUACAAGCAGUGGGAGCCUCUUUAUGGGGUGACUGCGUACCUUUUGUAUAAUGGGUCAGCGACUUAUAUUCUGUAGCAAGGUUAACCGUAUAGGGGAGCCGAAGGGAAACCGAGUCUUAACUGGGCGUUAAGUUGCAGGGUAUAGACCCGAAACCCGGUGAUCUAGCCAUGGGCAGGUUGAAGGUUGGGUAACACUAACUGGAGGACCGAACCGACUAAUGUUGAAAAAUUAGCGGAUGACCUGUGGCUGGGGGUGAAAGGCCAAUCAAACCGGGAGAUAGCUGGUUCUCCCCGAAAGCUAUUUAGGUAGCGCCUCGUGAACUCAUCUUCGGGGGUAGAGCACUGUUUCGGCUAGGGGGCCAUCCCGGCUUACCAACCCGAUGCAAACUACGAAUACCGAAGAAUGUUAUCACGGGAGACACACGGCGGGUGCUAACGUCCGUCGUGAAGAGGGAAACAACCCAGACCGCCAGCUAAGGUCCCAAAGUCAUGGUUAAGUGGGAAACGAUGUGGGAAGGCACAGACAGCCAGGAUGUUGGCUUAGAAGCAGCCAUCAUUUAAAGAAAGCGUAAUAGCUCACUGGUCGAGUCGGCCUGCGCGGAAGAUGUAACGGGGCUAAACCAUGCACCGAAGCUGCGGCAGCGACACUAUGUGUUGUUGGGUAGGGGAGCGUUCUGUAAGCCGUUGAAGGUGUGCUGUGAGGCAUGCUGGAGGUAUCAGAAGUGCGAAUGCUGACAUAAGUAACGAUAAAGCGGGUGAAAAGCCCGCUCGCCGGAAGACCAAGGGUUCCUGUCCAACGUUAAUCGGGGCAGGGUGAGUCGACCCCUAAGGCGAGGCCGAAAGGCGUAGUCGAUGGGAAACAGGUUAAUAUUCCUGUACUUGGUGUUACUGCGAAGGGGGGACGGAGAAGGCUAUGUCAGCCGGGCGACGGUUGUCCCGGUUUAAGCAUGUAGGCGGAGGUUCCAGGUAAAUCCGGUACCUUGUUAACGCUGAGGUGUGAUGACGAGGCACUACGGUGCUGAAGUGAUAAAUGCCCUGCUUCCAGGAAAAGCCUCUAAGCAUCAGGUAACACGAAAUCGUACCCCAAACCGACACAGGUGGUCAGGUAGAGAAUACCAAGGCGCUUGAGAGAACUCGGGUGAAGGAACUAGGCAAAAUGGUGCCGUAACUUCGGGAGAAGGCACGCUGAUAUGUAGGUGAAGCCCCUGCGGGCGGAGCUGAAAUCAGUCGAAGAUACCAGCUGGCUGCAACUGUUUAUUAAAAACACAGCACUGUGCAAACACGAAAGUGGACGUAUACGGUGUGACGCCUGCCCGGUGCCGGAAGGUUAAUUGAUGGGGUUAGCGGCAACGCGAAGCUCUUGAUCGAAGCCCCGGUAAACGGCGGCCGUAACUAUAACGGUCCUAAGGUAGCGAAAUUCCUUGUCGGGUAAGUUCCGACCUGCACGAAUGGCGUAAUGAUGGCCAGGCUGUCUCCACCCGAGACUCAGUGAAAUUGAACUCGCUGUGAAGAUGCAGUGUACCCGCGGCAAGACGGAAAGACCCCGUGAACCUUUACUAUAGCUUGACACUGAACACUGGUCCUUGAUGUGUAGGAUAGGUGGGAGGCUUUGAAGCGUGGACGCCAGUCUGCGUGGAGCCAACCUUGAAAUACCACCCUUUAAUGGCUGGUGUUCUAACGUAGACCCGUAAUCCGGGUUGCGGACAGUGUCUGGUGGGUAGUUUGACUGGGGCGGUCUCCUCCCAAAGAGUAACGGAGGAGCACGAAGGUUGGCUAAUCCUGGUCGGACAUCAGGAGGUUAGUGCAAUGGCAUAAGCCAGCUUGACUGCGAGCGUGACGGCGCGAGCAGGUGCGAAAGCAGGUCAUAGUGAUCCGGUGGUUCUGAAUGGAAGGGCCAUCGCUCAACGGAUAAAAGGUACUCCGGGGAUAACAGGCUGAUACCGCCCAAGAGUUCAUAUCGACGGCGGUGUUUGGCACCUCGAUGUCGGCUCAUCACAUCCUGGGGCUGAAGUAGGUCCCAAGGGUAUGGCUGUUCGCCAUUUAAAGUGGUACGCGAGCUGGGUUUAGAACGUCGUGAGACAGUUCGGUCCCUAUCUGCCGUGGGCGCUGGAGAAUUGAGGGGGGCUGCUCCUAGUACGAGAGGACCGGAGUGGACGCAUCACUGGUGUUCGGGUUGUCAUGCCAAUGGCACUGCCCGGUAGCUAAAUGCGGAAGAGAUAAGUGCUGAAAGCAUCUAAGCACGAAACUUGCCCCGAGAUGAGUUCUCCCUGAGACUUUAAGUCUCCUGAAGGAACGUUGAAGACGACGACGUUGAUAGGUCGGGUGUGUAAGCGCAGCGAUGCGUUGAGCUAACCGAUACUAAUGAACCGUGAGGCUUAACCUUACAACGCCGAAGGUGUUU